AUGGUGGGGUUGUUUUGUAGCUUUGGUUUUUUUACACACAGGUUGCUUUGUAAAGCUUUAAUUAAUGUCUGUAUGAAAUGAGGAGAGUUUGAUUAACAGGGACUAAAAACCAGGGAAAUUUGACCCAUCAGGCAGCAGAGAACAUAGUGGGGUUGUUUUGUGGCUUUGCCUUUUUAUACACACAGGUGGCUUCUUAAAACUUUAAUUAAUAUCUGUAUGAAAUGAGGAAAGUUUGAUUAGGAGGGACUAAAACCAGGGAAAUUUGACCCAUCAGGCAGCACAGAAUGUCGUGGGGUUGUUUUGUGGCUUUGCCUUUUUAUACACACAGGUGCCUUCUUAAAGCUUUAAUUAAUAUCUGUGUGAAAUGAGGGAGAGUUUGAUUAAUAGGGACUAAAACCAGGGAGAUUUGGCCCAUCAGGCAGCACAGAAUGUGAUGGGGUUGUUUUGUGGCUUUGCAUUGUGAGCAGCUGCCUCAGAGGCUGCUCGGGUGGGGAUUUACACCCAUUUACACACACACACCCAUUUACACCCAUUGACACCCACUUACACCCAUUUACACACAUUGACACCCACUUACACACAUUGACACCCACUUACACCCAUUUACACCCACUUACACCCACUUACACCCAUUUACACCCAUUGAUACCCACUUACACCCACUUACACCCAUUUACACACAUUGACGCCCAUUUACACACAUUUACACCCAUUUACACACAUUGACGCCCAUUUACACACAUUUACACCCACUUACACCCAUUGACACACACUUUGACCCAUUGACACCCACUUACACGCAUUUACACCCAUUUACACCCAUUGACACCCACUUACACCCAUUUACACGCAUUUAAACCCAUUUACACCCACUUACACCCACUGACACCUAUUGACACGCAUUGACACCCACUUACACCCAUUGACACCCAUUUACACCCAUUUACACCCACUUACACCCAUUGAUACCCACUUACACCCACUUACACCCAUUUACACCCACUUACACCCAUUUACACACACUUACACACAUUGACACCCACUUACAUUCACUUACACCCACUUACACCCAUUUACAC
RNAcentral lists this long non-coding RNA (1079 nucleotides) under Zonotrichia albicollis (white-throated sparrow). RNAcentral's name for it is "lncRNA (ENSZALG00000002715.1)". The record is from RNAcentral. Lineage: Eukaryota; Metazoa; Chordata; Aves; Passeriformes; Passerellidae.